CCCAACGAAUCCCAGGACGAUUGAGAAAACGGAGAGUCCCGUUCGGAGGACUUAAAAACACCGAACGCCUUGCCAAGAGGUAAACUUGGUAGUUAUCUUUUCCUUUCAAUUAUUUCAAAUAGUUUGCUUAGUUAAUCAGGUUCAUAUCAUUUUUAAAAGAAAAUAAAAAUGUUAAAAAUAAGUAAGCCCCAUGUGAGUAUACGAGUGGCAUAAAACCCAUAAGUACAUUCACUGUGGUGGCAUAAAAAUAAAAUGAAUAGUUUUUUCUGUUCUAUAAAAUAAAAAUAUAAAAAUAGAGAGUAACAUUUAUUGAGGAGGCUCAACAUGAUAAAGGCUAGAUAUUUAUGCUAACACCUAAUCAGUUCCACAAAGCUUUGUUGUCUAUUUGAGCUCCACAGAAUUCAAGAAUCAAGAAGACUAGCAGACGGAGGACAUCCUAAUCGCUGUCAGAGUGCUGCCGACUUUCAAAUACACCUCUACCACCUGCUAGCUACAUCAGAAGAAAUUACUUCAAAAUUCAGCUUGGAGGAGAGCACCCCCAUAUAUCCCGCUAAGUAUUUCUAUCUACAUUGAUACUUAUACUAUUUUAAAAUAAAAAUAUACAUAACCAUGAAAAACCAAAUAAAGAUUUUGUGCUUAUAUAUAUAUAUAUCUUUUGCUUAGUGUGCUUAAUAAAUAAAUAAAGUGGCUAUGCUAAACUGAAUCUUAAUAAUAAAACUCUAGCAUGGAUAUGAUGAAUAGUUGCUCUGUCUAAUUUUCAAAUUUGAGUUCUCUCUCAAGUUUAGACAUAACUGUUAUAAUUUAAAGCUUGCUCUAAAUCUGAACUUGUGGGAAGAGACCUUGAUCUGAAGUCUAAGUUGUUAACGGAUAUGAUAUGGAAAGGUUGAGCUGCUGUUUAUCUAUUCCUAGAGAUGUUGUGGAGAAUUUUAUCUUUAAAAAUCUUUAAAAUAACACAUGAUGAGUUCCUGUAUGAUGAGAGUUUAAAUUCCUACCACAACCAUAUAUAUAUAUGCUUGUUAGACUUUGAGCCACACAUUUACUUUUUACUGCUUAUGAGCAUUGAGUGUGAUCAAGCUGUGUAGACCCUUAGGAGCUUGUCAUGUGGUUAAAUCAAGAUUCACUUGCACGUUCACUCACACAUGCUGCUUCUACUCCGGAAGUACGCAUCCACAUAUGUCCACCCAUUUCCAUCUCCAGAACCACCCAAAAAUAUUCUACUCCUAAUCCGGGAGAGAAUAGCCAAAAACCUUUAUGUUUUCCCCUGUGAAAUAAAUGCUCAAGUUAUCUUGGUUACUACCACUUGCUAUAUUAUUUCAGGAAAUGAGUGCUCUAGAAAAAAAAGAAGAAAAAGAUAUGAGGAAAUAAAAAGGGGCAAGUGCCCGGAACCUCGAAAGAAAGAAAAAGUGAGACGAGAGGUAAAAAUGGACAAGUGUCCGACAGUAGAAUUAGGGGUACAAGAUACCCACCUGAGAGGAAAGAAAAAAAUAUAGAGCAUCUCGCUCUCCUCAAAAAGUUUCAAAAGAGCAAGGAAGGUGUGUAUCCCCUCAAAAGAGCACAAGUAGAAUUAGACUUUCACCAUUGUUAUUACCAUCAUCACCAUACAUCAUUCAUUCGCCACACAUGCACACUUGAUUUGAUUUAUUGACUUGUUUCUCUGGAUCCAUGGUUUGACUAUGCAAUAAAUGUCUUGUAAGUAUGUAUACUUUAUCUCCCACCUAUGAGCUCCAGAUAUCAAAGCCUUAUUAGAGUAGGGUGAGAGAGAAGGAAAAUGUCACUAUGCCUUAUACCACAAAUACCACAUAUUUUGAGAGAAGGCAUGUACCAUUACUGCCUUGGUAAAGAUCCAAAAAUACCACAAAAGAGAGAUCUGAGAGAGUCAUACAAGGAAUCUCUGAGUUUUAUUUGAAAAUCUGAAAAAACUCCAGAGGUAUAGCUGAUCAAGAAUAAGAGAC
RNAcentral lists this long non-coding RNA (1952 nucleotides) under Sorghum bicolor (sorghum). Its description in RNAcentral is "long non-coding RNA (SBIC_LNC005226)". The record is from RNAcentral. Lineage: Eukaryota; Viridiplantae; Streptophyta; Magnoliopsida; Poales; Poaceae.